CCCGUUGUAGGUCAUGAAGAUAAGCAUGAGGAAGUAGCUUAUGACCACCUGGAUGAUGUGCAGCACUGUUUGCAGGAGGUGAGGAAAGCUCAGCAUCUGCUGCCUGGAGAGUAAACAGGGACACAACAAUCAGGGACUCCUAGGAGUUCUGCAGAUCAGGAGAAAGAGGGAAGAGUUUUUGCCAUGAGCUCAGCUGGAACUGGACAGCCACUCUGGCAACUCACAGGUAUAAAGACCAGAACUUAAUUCAGAAAAGAGUUGAUUUUAGAAGGGACUACCAAAGAAAGAAGCCUAAAAUCUUGGUUCUGGUGUGACUCUAGAUGGAAUCUUGCCAUUUUGCCCAGGCUGAAAUGCAAUGGCUAUUCACAGGCAUGAUCCCACUACUGAUCAAUACAGGAGUUUUGACCUGCUCCAUUUCUGACCUAGGCUGGUUCACCAGGCAACCUGGUGGUUCCCUGCUCCUGGACUUGUUUCUUGGUCACCUAUGUCUUCUGAGUAAACAUGAAUGGACCAUGUAAUUACUAUAUAAAAAACAAAAUAUAAAGGCAAAGAACUAGUUUAAAUGUGAGAGAGGACACAGGUGACAUAUACUAUAUUGGAUGCUUAAUGAGCCCCUCUUGGAUGCUACUCUUUCUUGAGUCAGCUAAGAAGAGAAGUCUGGCUCCAAACAAUUCGGUCUGGAAAGAGAUGGAUGAGCCAUUUCUUCACCUAUAUGUGGAUCACCUGAAACUGAAACCUGAGUGUCCCGUCUCAGAAUCCCACUAAGAAUUGGAAGGACCUUAGCAGUCAUUGCAUGGUGCUCCUCAGUAAUACUUAAAUUCUAUAAUAACUGUUCAAACACCUCUGGGAACUUGUCAGGCAAGUGUGUUGCUCCCUUCCAGAAAUAUAAGGAAGCAAAAUUCUCUUCCUAGCCAAGCCAAAUACAGAAGAUGUCCCAUAGGAAUCUGAAUCUUGCUAUUUGACAGUGAUGAUGCUGAUGAACCGGUACUCCAAGCUAAACCAGUAUUUGUACUGCAGAUACUAUUUGCAUGUACUUCUCAAGCUGUAAUUUGCUUCUAAGGCCGCCCUCCGAAGAACUAAUUUCUGCCUGCAAAAAGAAACCUAGGUAUCUUCACCCCCAACUUUUGGUAUCAAUACACUGAUUUUUAAGCUCA
Molecule: long non-coding RNA, 1154 nt
Organism: Rhinopithecus roxellana (golden snub-nosed monkey)
Lineage: Eukaryota; Metazoa; Chordata; Mammalia; Primates; Cercopithecidae
Exons: 5
Source: RefSeq, a predicted model, not a curated record